RNAcentral lists this long non-coding RNA (1168 nucleotides) under Numida meleagris (helmeted guineafowl). Its description in RNAcentral is "lncRNA (ENSNMEG00000005072.1)". Lineage: Eukaryota; Metazoa; Chordata; Aves; Galliformes; Numididae. The record is from RNAcentral.
GUUGUUUUGGCUGACAGAAGUGAUACGUUUUUUUUUCUUUCAAAUAUUUACUUCAGGAAUUUCUACAUUUCUAGUUUUAGCGCCUUUGGUCUGAUCAGUUUUUUCCACAUUUUGAGUUUUUUUCUUGCGAAAUAUUACUAAAGUCCUGCCUGUAGAGCUAACGCCCUGCGCUCUUGCAGCAUUCACCCCUUCCAGGCCCAUGAGAAAUGCCCCGUGGUGCAGGUACCCUGAUGAUGGGGGGAGAUGAGAUGGAUGAGGAGCACGGGGUUUCCAGCAGACCAGUGAGUGGCCCUGCUGCAGGAAGCGUCCAGAGCUGGAGCUGAGCUUGGCUCGGCAGGUGGAAAAGGAGCCUGUCCUUCCUGGCCCUGGGGCUGGGUCAGCCAGGAUAGCUGCUGAAGCUGGGUACAUAACACAGAGAUAUAAAUUCACAUGGAAGGGAUGGCAUUCACAUGGGCUUCUUUCCCUCAUUUUUACUUUCUCUCCAAAGGGAGACAGUAUGAGCAAAUAGAGCUUUUGUUGGUUUUUUUUUGGCAACUCAAAUAACCCAGAUGGUUGCUAUGUUCCAUUACUUAGUUACAGAAAGGCCAGACUUCAACUGCCAUCCACUUGCAGUGAGGAGUGGGCAGAUCUGUGGUUCCAGAGCUGCGUGCAUCCGUAGUGCCAGUGCAGGAGGAGGUUUCUCCCGUACAGCUGCUGUCCUGCUUAAGAGAGGAGAGAGGGAGAGAUCAUGCACAGAGCUCCCUGCGGAUGAAGGAAGCAGGAGGGCCGGCGGUGGAUGGGUCCUGAUGGCACUCCAUCACUGCUGCCCUCCCGCUCUGCGGCCCCGCUCAGGUUAGCAUCAGCCAGCAGAGCCAAAUUGGCGGUGUCACUGUUCCUGCUGCACAGCUGAGCGCCUUGUUUCACAAAUUAAAAAGUCUGUUCCCUCGACAGAUUUGUUUUUCCUGCAAGAAAGUCCAAUUUAGAGCAUUAAUUAAAGGUACUCUCAGAAAUGUACUGUAUGGGAAUCAAGCAGGCUUUGCUUUUUCCAGCUCUGGGGUUGAGUGGAGAUGACACAUGAUUUCCUUCUGGCCACCGUAACAAGGAGCUCCUCAGGACGUGGCCAGCAGUAUUUCAGUCCCUCUCUGGCCGAAAGAAUAAAGCAGUAGGGUAACUGUGGUGCUGCUGAGGG